AGCUGCGCGUUGAAUACAUAACAAAUUAUUCUUUCUACUUUUACUAAAAAAUACUGUGGGCUUGUCGCUAUCAAGCGGCGUACACCAUUUUUGGAGGGUUGUCGUAUUGACAAACC
Salvia splendens (bonfire salvia) is the source of this 116-nucleotide small nuclear RNA. RefSeq annotates it as U5 spliceosomal RNA. Lineage: Eukaryota; Viridiplantae; Streptophyta; Magnoliopsida; Lamiales; Lamiaceae. The record is from RefSeq and is a predicted model, not a curated record. The transcript has a single exon.